CAGCUCGUGCCGUUGAGGUGUCGGCUUAAGUGCCAUAACGAGCGCAACCCUUAUUUCCAGUUACUAACAGGUGAUGCUGAGGACUCUGGAGAGACUGCCAGCGUAAGCUGUGAGGAAGGUGGGGAUGACGUCAAAUCAGCACGGCCCUUACAUCCGGGGCGACACACGUGUUACAAUGGUAGGGACAAAGGGCAGCUACCGGGCGACCGGAUGCGAAUCUCUAAACCUUAUCUCAGUUCGGAUCGGAGUCUGCAACUCGACUCCGUGAAGCUGGAUUCGCUAGUAAUCGCGCAUCAGCCAUGGCGCGGUGAAUACGUUCCCGGGCCUU
This 328-nucleotide ribosomal RNA is filed under the name uncultured Parabacteroides sp. RNAcentral describes it as "bacterial SSU rRNA". It matches the Rfam family "Bacterial small subunit ribosomal RNA", at positions 1056 to 1382 of the family's 1533-position model. Lineage: Bacteria; Pseudomonadati; Bacteroidota; Bacteroidia; Bacteroidales; Tannerellaceae. The record is from RNAcentral.